CUACGGGUCGCAGCAGUGGGGAAUAUUGCACAAUGGGGGAAACCCUGAUGCAGCAACGCCGCGUGGAGGAUGACGCAUUUCGGUGUGUAAACUCCUUUUAUAUCCCAAGAUAAUGACGGUAGGAUAUGAAUAAGCACCGGCUAACUCCGUGCCAGCAGCCGCGGUAAUAGGGAGGGUGCAAGCGUUACUCGGAAUCACUGGGCGUAAAGGAUGCGUAGGCUGGAAGUCAAGUCAUAAGUGAAAUCCCACGGCUCAACCGUGGAACUGCUUGUGAAACUGGCUUUCUAGAAUGUGGGAGAGGUAGAUGGAAUUAGUGGUGUAGGGGUAAAAUCCGUAGAGAUCACUAGGAAUACCGAUUGCGAAGGCGAUCUACUGGAACACUAUUGACGCUGAGGCAUGAAAGCGUGGGGAGCAAACAGGAUUAGAUACCCGGGUAGUC
RNAcentral lists this ribosomal RNA (439 nucleotides) under uncultured bacterium. Its description in RNAcentral is "partial 16S ribosomal RNA". It matches the Rfam family "Bacterial small subunit ribosomal RNA", at positions 339 to 795 of the family's 1533-position model. The record is from RNAcentral.